RNAcentral lists this ribosomal RNA (215 nucleotides) under uncultured fungus. RNAcentral describes it as "partial small subunit ribosomal RNA". The stretch from base 92 to 215 matches the Rfam family "Eukaryotic small subunit ribosomal RNA", at positions 739 to 864 of the family's 1831-position model. The record is from RNAcentral. Lineage: Eukaryota; Fungi.
GGUACGGUGCGCCUGGCCCGCUGCCGCAAGGUACGCGAGUGUCGGUGUGCGUCUGCCAUCGUUGUAGGGAAACUCCUCUUCACUGGGGAGUGGAACUACAUCUUUUACUUUGAAAAAAUUAGAGUGUUUAAAGCAGGCUUGCGCUAUGAAUACAUUAGCAUGGAAUAAUAAUUUAGGACUUCGUUUCUAUUUUGUUGGUUUCUAGGGAUGAAGUA